Molecule: ribosomal RNA, 879 nt
Filed under: Triticum aestivum (bread wheat)
Lineage: Eukaryota; Viridiplantae; Streptophyta; Magnoliopsida; Poales; Poaceae
Description: partial small subunit ribosomal RNA
Source: RNAcentral
AUGCUUGAUCUCAAUGAGUUGCCUCCAGAUCUCAAUGAGCUUCCUCGUGAUAUGGAUCAGCAGCAACCUAGCAUACAACAAGGAAAUUGGAUAGAAAAUGGUCGAUCUGUUUACUACACGCAGGCAAGUCGUGAUGGUAACCCUAUGGGCCAUGACAAUGUGGCAGGCCAGUCAUCAGCCCAUGGUGCCCCUGUAGUGGUGUCUUUGCAGUCAGAGAGCCAUACUCUUGAUGACACAGGAACCGAGGCAAAUGUUCCUGGUCCAACCAGGACUGAGCUAGAAGUUGGGGCUGUUGACAGAGCUGUGCAAGUAGAAGAAGGAGAGGAUGAGGCUGGUUCUCAACCUAUGGAACCCUAUGUUGGCAUGAGGUUUGACAGCCUUCAAAUUGCUAAGGAUCACUACAACAACUACGCACUACGGAUGGGUUUCUCUAUCAAGAUGAACACCUCUAGACGGACAGCCCGCACCAAUGAAUUGAUAAAACAACAGUUUUGCUGCAACAAGUUCAAGAAGCCCAAAGCUGAUGAUGGAGGAGCUGAGGCUCCUCCUGUCCUGGACCCUAUUCUAGAUCCAAAAUCUGUUAAUAGUGAUGAGGAGAUGGAAGAAGAACCUCCAAUAUUUGCUGAAGAGGAGGCUGGUACUAGUAAGAAGAAGAAGAAGCGCAAACGCAAGACAAUAAAGCAGACUGAAUGCAAGGCGAAAAUGUUGGUGAAGCUGACAGAUGGGCGAUGGGAGGUGACGCACUUUGUUCGUGACCACAAUCAUCCGCUUGUGAACAAACUGUCAUUGUCCAAAUACUUGAGAUCCCACCAAGGCAUCUCACCUGAUGAAAAGGAGUUUCUGCGCAUCUUGUAUAACUGCAACUUGACUAUAGGAUGA